RNAcentral lists this ribosomal RNA (460 nucleotides) under uncultured bacterium. RNAcentral describes it as "partial 16S ribosomal RNA". It matches the Rfam family "Bacterial small subunit ribosomal RNA", at positions 338 to 795 of the family's 1533-position model. The record is from RNAcentral.
CCUACGGGUGGCAGCAGUGAGGAAUAUUGGUCAAUGGACGAGAGUCUGAACCAGCCAAGUAGCGUGAAGGAUGACUGCCCUAUGGGUUGUAAACUUCUUUUAUAUGGGAAUAAAAUGUUCCACGUGUGGGGUUUUGUAUGUACCAUAUGAACAAGGAUCGGCUAACCCCGGCCCAGCAGCAGCGGUAAUACGGGGGGUCCGAGCGUUAUCCGGAUUUAUUGGGUUUAAAGGGAGCGUAGGUGGAUGGUUAAGUCAGUUGUGAAAGUUUGGGGCUCAACCGUAAAAUUGCAGUUGAAACUGGCAGUCUUGAGUACAGGAGAGGUGGGCGGAAUUCGUGGUGUAGCGGUGAAAUGCUUAGAUAUCACGAAGAACUCCGAUUGCGAAGGCAGCUCACUGGACUGCAACUGACACUGAGGCGCGAAAGUGUGGGUAUCAAACAGGAUUAGAUACCCGUGUAGUC